RNAcentral lists this ribosomal RNA (253 nucleotides) under uncultured bacterium. RNAcentral describes it as "partial 16S ribosomal RNA". It matches the Rfam family "Bacterial small subunit ribosomal RNA", at positions 524 to 776 of the family's 1533-position model. The record is from RNAcentral.
UACAGAGGGUGCGAGCGUUAAUCGGAAUUACUGGGCGUAAAGCGCGCGUAGGCGGCUUUGCAAGUCGGGUGUGAAAUCCCCAGGCUUAACCUGGGAACUGCAUUCGAGACUGCAUUGCUAGAGUAUGGGAGAGGGAAGUGGAAUUUCCGGUGUAGCGGUGAAAUGCGCAGAUAUCAGGAGGAACACCCGUAGCGAAGGCGGCACUCUGGGCCGGAACUGACGCUGAGGAGCGAAAGCGUGGGGAGCGAACAGG